GCCAGGCGUGGUGGCGUGCGCCUGUAGUCCCAGCUACUUGGGAGGCUGAGGCAGGAGAAUUGCUUGAACCCGGGAGGCAGAGGUUGCAGUGAGCUAAGAUCAUGCCACUGCACUCCAUCCUGGGCGACAGAGUGAGACUCUGUCUCAA
This 148-nucleotide non-coding RNA is filed under the name Homo sapiens (human). The record is from Rfam by way of RNAcentral. Lineage: Eukaryota; Metazoa; Chordata; Mammalia; Primates; Hominidae.